AGAAUAUUACAAAGACAGAAAUUUUAAAAGGACUGACUGUACAAAUCAGUUAAAAUUCACAAUUUAAUUAAUUAUUUAGCAGAUGGAGUUAAAAAUGGCAGUAAAACGGAACGAUUUGUCAACUUACAUAAACAAAUUUGAAAAAUAUUCAAAGUCAGUGGGAUUCUUUCCAACAAACUUGAAACGAGGGCGGUGUCCAUUUUCCAAGUGGUGAAUUACAUGCUGAAGGACCCAGUGGACAGCUGAAGGACCCAAGAACCCCUGGGUACUCAUGGUUAAGUGCGUAUCUUAAGAUUGAAAAUGGGUAACCGAUCCUCAGGCAAUAUCUGACCCCCAAGCUUCAAUCACCAAUUCAGUACCAGGUCAUUCUUUGUUUCCAAGCUUGGCUUCCUAGACGAGAUAGGAAACUUUUACAAAUCGAGACAUCGACCCGUGGCACAACACUCAUAGUGAAUUUAUUACCAUCGAAGACCGAAGAUAGCUGAAUUUGGUUCACACAAUCACAAAUAUGGCUGCAUU
This is a long non-coding RNA of Chrysoperla carnea, 519 nucleotides long. RefSeq lists it as uncharacterized. The record is from RefSeq and is a predicted model, not a curated record. The transcript is spliced from 5 exons. NCBI's taxonomy places the organism in Eukaryota, Metazoa, Arthropoda, Insecta, Neuroptera, Chrysopidae.